This 29-nucleotide non-coding RNA is filed under the name Rattus norvegicus (Norway rat). The record is from RNAcentral. Lineage: Eukaryota; Metazoa; Chordata; Mammalia; Rodentia; Muridae.
UGCCCAGCCUCACUAGACAUUUCUCUGCU